RNAcentral lists this ribosomal RNA (463 nucleotides) under uncultured bacterium. Its description in RNAcentral is "partial 16S ribosomal RNA". It matches the Rfam family "Bacterial small subunit ribosomal RNA", at positions 28 to 507 of the family's 1533-position model. The record is from RNAcentral.
GAUGAACGCUGACAGCAUGCUUAACACAUGCCAGUCUUUGGCGAAGCUGUGCUUGCACAGCCUAGCCAAGGCGGACGGGUGAGUAACGCGUAAGGAACUUGCCCUGCAGUCAGGGAUAACAGACGGAAACGACUGAUAAGACCUGGUAAAGUCAGGCGGACUCAUGUCCAGCCUGAUGAAAAGAGAUGCUGCAGGAGAGCCUUGCGUCCUAUUAGCUUGUUGGUGGGGUAACGGCCCACCAAGGCGAUGAUAGGUAGCCGGCCUGAGAGGGUGGACGGCCACAAGGGGACUGAGAUACGGCCCUUACUCCUACGGGAGGCAGCAGUGGGGAAUAUUGGACAAUGGGGGCAACCCUGAUCCAGCAAUUCUGUGUGCACGAUGAAGGUUUUCGGAUUGUAAAGUGCUUUCAGCAGGGAAGAAAAAAAUGACGGUACCUUCAGAAGAAGCGACGGCUAAAUACGUG